CAUUCACCCACGUUGGCGAAUACGGCUUGGAGUAUGUAAUAUCAUGGGUCGAUGGCUGUGUUAUUUUGAAUGUUAAAGAUUGUGCUACAGAGUGGCGGUUGAACGUUCACGAAUGGAAUUCUUUCUUGGAGAAUUUAUGCCCCAUGCUAGACGGCGUCCGGGGUACAUGGCAGGCGGGAACCCAUGUAUUCCAAUGGACCUUUCAGUAUGAAUCGAGGAUUCAUCGCAUGGAUGCAAACUAUCAUACGAAGAGACCACAGGAGUUCAUUUUUUUUCAGACGCUGUGUUGAUACAGACGAGCUACCGCAGUGCUAUGAUAUGCAUUGCGUCGGUAGCUCUCCUCUACGCACCAGUGUUUUAGAAGCUGCUGAUUAUUUUGAUAAUGUCUUUUUCAUGCAGUGGGCUGAUUUGUCUGCACUACGUGGAAUUUUUGCAGAGAUUGAUUCAAUGGCUAAGACGAAUGAAGAACCAUGGAGCACAGCUGAUGAUGAAUGCCGAAUGUGCCUGUUUGAGUCGUCUGGGUUUGAUGAUGGGGUACAUGCACAGGUCAAUGAUGAACAUGUGCAAGGUGGGGGUGUGGCUAUGGAGACUGCUGAUUUAAAGGCUGUACAACCCGGACCCCACUGGCUUCAAGAGUAUGCCAUCUAUCUGACCGGAUUGAAUCUGACCUUCCUACACGUCGGAGAGGACAGUGAGCUGGAGGUGGACACUGCUAUGAGAGACGACGGAUGGCCUGUAAUCAAUACAGAUCCGUUUAAACCCUGCAUCGCUGGCCGUUCUGCGAUUUUACCACGGGGCUCUGUGUGGUGGCCAUCAUCAACCAUCAGAAGCAAGCGGGACUGCUGGGGAUGCCAGUGUGAUUGCCCAAGGUCAACGACGCCAUUCAUGCCUGCAGGAGCGACACAUCAUCACUACGAAUCCCACUACCAUGACAUUUGUGUCAUCCUGGACAGACACCCCUUCCUGUUACUUUUAGAAACUGUUCUAAAGACGACUACAGGGUUGACCUGUGUCCCCCGGAAAAAUCUAUGGUGUGGUCGAAUCUUAUCUAUGUGA
This 1056-nucleotide long non-coding RNA is filed under the name Gadus morhua (Atlantic cod). RNAcentral's name for it is "lncRNA (ENSGMOG00000024818.1)". Lineage: Eukaryota; Metazoa; Chordata; Actinopteri; Gadiformes; Gadidae. The record is from RNAcentral.